AGGUGAGAUGAUGGAAAGCAUCCGUGUGUCUUGUUCAGCUGCUGAGGAUUAUCAAGAAUGGCUUUUUCUUCUACAGAAGCCUGAAGAAUCGUUCAGGACAAUUGCUACCCUCCCACCACCAGUAAUACCCAAAAAGAAAUCUAAAAUGGAUUACUAUACAUGACCUUUUAUGAAACAUCAUAAAUGAACAGCUCCAUUCAGUAAGAACUUUACAAAAAUAUGUUAUGUCCAUACUGAAAGCAGCCUCCAAGAUUGAAACAAGGACUUCUCAUGAAAAAUCAUACUGUUGAGCUGAACACCUUACAUUUUGAAAACAAACGAGUUGAAUACACAACUGAUGCGGAAUUUAUCGAAGAAUAAUGCUAUAGUUCUAUUACAGCAGUUCCAGAGAAGUGGACUUGAUACCAAUUUCUUAUUUCAUAGCUUUCUUAGAUAUUGCUGUAAGCCUUUUAUAUUGUGAGCUCUUGGGAAACUAAUCCCAUAACAGAAGUGUAAUUAUUAUGCAUUUCUAAAACUGGUGUAAAUAUUUGUAACUGCAUUAAGUAUCAUUAAAUGAAUUAAAAUUAUACCUUUACAGAUGAUGCCAUAAUGUCGAGUAGUAUCAAAAAUUUAAUUUUAAGAAUAUUGCAGAUAAUUGUUUGCUCAUGGUCUUGCAUCCAUCUUGUGAAUAAAAUAAUAUGCAUUUCUAGA
This is a long non-coding RNA of Protopterus annectens (West African lungfish), 690 nucleotides long. RefSeq lists it as uncharacterized. NCBI's taxonomy places the organism in Eukaryota, Metazoa, Chordata, Ceratodontiformes, Protopteridae. The record is from RefSeq and is a predicted model, not a curated record. The transcript has 2 exons.